Molecule: transfer RNA, 89 nt
Filed under: Pedosphaera sp.
Lineage: Bacteria; Pseudomonadati; Verrucomicrobiota; Pedosphaerae; Pedosphaerales; Pedosphaeraceae
Description: tRNA-Leu
Rfam family: tRNA
About the family: Transfer RNA (tRNA) molecules are approximately 80 nucleotides in length.
Source: RNAcentral
GCCGGUGUGGCGAAAUUGGUAGACGCAAGGGACUUAAAAUCCCUUGGCUUUUAAUAGCCGUGCCGGUUCGAGUCCGGCCACCGGUACCA